UACGUAGGGGGCAAGCGUUGUCCGGAAUUAUUGGGCGUAAAGAGCGCGUAGGCGGCUCGUUAAGUGUGAAGUGAAAUCUCCAGGGCUCAACCCGGAAACUGCUUUACAUACUGGCGAGCUGGAGUGAUGCAGAGGUUUGUGGAAUUCCUGGUGUAGCGGUGAAAUGCGCAGAUAUCAGGAGGAACACCGGUGGCGAAGGCGGUUCUCUGGGCAUGUCCUGACGCUGAGGAGCGAAAGUGUGGGGAGCGAACAGG
RNAcentral lists this ribosomal RNA (254 nucleotides) under uncultured bacterium. RNAcentral's name for it is "partial 16S ribosomal RNA". It matches the Rfam family "Bacterial small subunit ribosomal RNA", at positions 524 to 776 of the family's 1533-position model. The record is from RNAcentral.